Long non-coding RNA from Pseudophryne corroboree (corroboree frog), 645 nucleotides. RefSeq lists it as uncharacterized. The transcript has 2 exons. NCBI's taxonomy places the organism in Eukaryota, Metazoa, Chordata, Amphibia, Anura, Myobatrachidae. The record is from RefSeq and is a predicted model, not a curated record.
UUUUUAAAGCUCUCAUUUCCUGCUUGCUGGAAUGUCACUGGUUUUGAAGUGAAUGGGAGCAACAUAGCUAAUCAUACCAGUGCAAUAGUCACAGCAGCACAGUAUAUUUCAGGAGAAGAGUGUGCUGAUUUGUGGAAGCAGUGACCUGUCCACACUCAUGAUAAUGUUAAUGAGGACAAGGAUUCGUGUGACGGGCAGUGUGAUGAUGUGAAAUGGGGAAUGAAGACAAGCUGGAAGACACAGGAUAAGAGGGUACCCGUUCGAAUGAUUGACAGUAACCAUGGGGACACCACAAUGAUGACAUCAGAACAUCAACAGGAUUUAAACUGUCGAGAGGCACUAGGUCGACAUCCUCAAAUUGUGAACACGUGCACAAGGAAGGUGGCAUUGCUGCCGAACAGGAUCUGGCACUGCUCACUGGCACUAUAAUGCAUCCCGGGCAGUUUGUGGGGAAGCCUGACGGCAUGAUGACUGCGGGGGUCGGUCACCAGCAGACAUGAACUCACUUUGGAUCUGCGGAAAGUUCAAAAGAAAAAAUGUUACUUUGAGAUGCGAUACAAUAGCGGAAGAUCACAUUUCAGUACAUGUGGAAAGCAGUGGCCCAUAGUGCUAUAAACUGAAUAAACUAAAAUCGGUAUCUCUAUA